CCUGGUUGAUCUUGCCAGUAGUCAUAUGCUUGUCUCACAGAUUAAGCCAUGCAAGUGAAAGUACAUAUGUAAAUAAUAUAUUGAAACUGCGAACGGCUCAUUAAAACAGUUAUAAUCUACUUGAUGUUUUUAAUAUAAGGAUAACUACGGAAAAUCUGUAGCUAAUACUUGUGAAAAUACCUUUUGAUAUAUACAUAUGUAUGUAUGUAUGUAUCAUUAAGGUAUGUAUUUGUUAGAUAUAAGAAUAAAAUAAAUAUAAUUGAAUUAUAACAAAGAAGAAACACAUAAAAUAUGUGUAUUAUCAAUCGAGUAUCUGACCUAUCAGCUUUUGAUGUUAGGGUAUUGACCUAACAUGGCUAUGACGGGUAACGGGGAAUUAGAGUUCGAUUCCGGAGAGGGAGCCUGAGAAAUAGCUACCACAUCUAAGGAAGGCAGCAGGCGCGUAAAUUACCCAAUUCUAAAAAAGAGAGGUAGUGACAAGAAAUAACAAUACAAUAUCGAAAAAUGAUUUUGUAAUUGGAAUGAUAGGAAUUUACAAGGUUCCUAGAGAAACAAUUGGAGGGCAAGUCUGGUGCCAGCAGCCGCGGUAAUUCCAGCUCCAAUAGCAUAUAUUAAAAUUGUUGCAGUUAAAACGUUCGUAGUUGAAUAUUAAAGAAUCCGAUGUUUCAUUUAAACUGGUUUGGGAAAACCAAAUAUAUUAUAUAUUUUGCUUUGUUCAAAAUAAGGUUUUCUAAUAAAUUAUGUUUUUAUCAGAUAUGACAGAAUCUUUUUUAAAAUCUCUUCAAUAUGCUUUUAUUGCUUUUGAGAGGUUUUGUUACUUUGAGUAAAAUUAAGUGUUCAUAACAGACGGGUAGUCAUGAUUGAGUUCAUUGUGUUUGAAUACUACAGCAUGGAAUAACAAAUAUGAAUAAGCUAAUUAUUUUUUUUUUUCAUAAUUUUUUUUGAUAUUCUUAUUAGCUUAGUUACGAUUAAUAGGAGUAGCUUUGGGGGCAUUCGUAUUCAGAUGUCAGAGGUGAAAUUCUAAGAUUUUCUGGAGACGGACUACUGCGAAAGCAUUUGCCUAAUCUAUUUCCAUUAAUCAAGAACGAAAGUUAAGGGAGUGAAGACGAUCAGAUACCGUCGUAAUCUUAACCAUAAACUAUACCGACUAGGUGUUGGAUGAAUAUAAAAAAUAUAUAAAUAUGUAGCAUUUCUUAGGGAAUGUUGAUUUUAUAUUAGAAUUGCUUCCUUCAGUACCUUAUGAGAAAUCAAAGUCUUUGGGUUCUGGGGCGAGUAUUCGCGCAAGCGAGAAAGUUAAAAGAAUUGACGGAAGGGCACCACCAGGCGUGGAGCUUGCGGCUUAAUUUGACUCAACACGGGAAAACUCACUAGUUUAAGACAAGAGUAGGAUUGACAGAUUAAUAGCUCUUUCUUGAUUUCUUGGAUGGUGAUGCAUGGCCGUUUUUAGUUCGUGAAUAUGAUUUGUCUGGUUAAUUCCGAUAACGAACGAGAUCUUAACCUGCUAAUUAGCGGUAAGUACACUAUAUUUUUAUUUGAAAUUGAAUAUAGGUAAUUAUACAUGUUUAUUCAGUGUUCAAAUUAGGAUAUUUUUUUAUUAAAAUAUUGAAUACUAGGUAACUAUACAUUUAUUCAGUGUUCAAAUUAGGAUAUUUUUUUAUUAAAAUAUUCUUUUCCCUGUUCUACUAAUAAUUUGUUUUUUUUUACUCUAUUUCUCUCUUCUUUUAAGAAUGUACUUGCUUGAUUAAAUAAAGCUUCUUAGAGGAACAGUGUGUAUCUAACACAAGGAAGUUUAAGGCAACAACAGGUCUGUGAUGUCCUUAGAUAAACUAGGCUGCACGCGUGCUACAAUGAUAUAUAUAACAAGUUGUUAAAAAUGUACUUAUAAAUAAGUGUGUACAAUUUUUCCUGUACUGAAAAGUAUAGGUAAUCUUUAUCAGUAUAUAUCGUAAUUGGGAUAGAUUAUUGCAAUUAUUAAUCUUGAACGAGGAAUGCCUAGUAAGCAUGAUUCAUUAGAUUGUGCUGACUACGUCCCUGCCCUUUGUACACACCGCCCGUCGCUCCUACCGAUUGAAAGAUAUGAUGAAUUGUUUGGAUAUGAAUUAAAAUAAUGAAAUUUUAUAUUUCUGAUUUUUUCUAGAAGAACUGUAAAUCCUAUCUUUUAAAGGAAGGAGAAGUCGUAACAAGGUUUCCGUAGGUGAACCUGCGGAAG
RNAcentral lists this ribosomal RNA (2209 nucleotides) under Plasmodium falciparum 365.1. Its description in RNAcentral is "SSU rRNA". It matches the Rfam family "Eukaryotic small subunit ribosomal RNA". Lineage: Eukaryota; Apicomplexa; Aconoidasida; Haemosporida; Plasmodiidae. The record is from RNAcentral.